AGAGUUUGAUCCUGGCUCAGGAUGAACGCUAGCUACAGGCUUAACACAUGCAAGUCGAGGGGCAUCAGGAUCUAGCAAUAGAUUGCUGGCGACCGGCGCACGGGUGAGUAACACGUAUCCAACCUGCCUUAUACUCGGGGAUAGCCUUUCGAAAGAAAGAUUAAUACCCGAUAUCAUACUCUUGCCGCAUGGUAAGAUUAUGAAAGGAUUCCGGUAUAAGAUGGGGAUGCGUUCCAUUAGGCAGUUGGUGGGUAACGGCCACAAACCUUCGAUGGAUAGGGGUUCUGAGAGGAACGGUCCCCCANAUUGGAACUGAGACACGGUCCAAACUCCGUACGGGAGCA
Molecule: ribosomal RNA, 344 nt
Filed under: uncultured bacterium
Lineage: Bacteria
Description: bacterial SSU rRNA
Rfam family: Bacterial small subunit ribosomal RNA
Source: RNAcentral